UACGAAGGGGGCAAGCGUUGUUCGGAAUUACUGGGCGUAAAGGGCGCGUAGGCGGUGCGUUAAGUUAGGCGUGAAAGCCCUGGGCUCAACCCGGGAACUGCGCUUGAUACUGGCGCGCUAGAAUCCAGGAGAGGUUGGUGGAAUUCCCAGUGUAGAGGUGAAAUUCGUAGAGAUUGGGAAGAACACCGGUGGCGAAGGCGGCCAACUGGACUGGUAUUGACGCUGAGGCGCGAAAGCGUGGGGAGCAAACAGG
RNAcentral lists this ribosomal RNA (253 nucleotides) under uncultured bacterium. RNAcentral describes it as "partial 16S ribosomal RNA". It matches the Rfam family "Bacterial small subunit ribosomal RNA", at positions 524 to 776 of the family's 1533-position model. The record is from RNAcentral.